This 326-nucleotide ribosomal RNA is filed under the name uncultured eukaryote. RNAcentral describes it as "partial 18S ribosomal RNA". It matches the Rfam family "Eukaryotic small subunit ribosomal RNA", at positions 1470 to 1796 of the family's 1831-position model. The record is from RNAcentral.
CCCUUAGAUGUUCUGGGCCGCACGCGCGCUACACUGAUGCAUUCAACAAGCCUAGCCUUGACCGAGAGGUCCGGGUAAUCUUUGAAACUGCAUCGUGAUGGGGCUAGAUUAUUGCAAUUAUUAAUCUUCAACGUGGAAUGCCUAGUAAGCGUGAUUCAUCAAAUCGCGUUGAUUACGUCCCUGCCCUUUGUACACACCGCCCGUCGCUCCUACCGAUUGAAUGUGUUGGUGAGGAGCUCGGAUUGGCAGCAGUUGGUGGUUCGCCACCGGCUAUUGCUGAGAAGUCCUCCAAACCGCCCCAUUUAGAGGAAGGAGAAGUCGUANCA